RNAcentral lists this long non-coding RNA (1570 nucleotides) under Homo sapiens (human). Its description in RNAcentral is "HSALNT0083082". Lineage: Eukaryota; Metazoa; Chordata; Mammalia; Primates; Hominidae. The record is from RNAcentral.
CGAGGUCAGUCCCAGGGCACAGAUCCAUGGGGCUGCCCCGAGCCAGCUCUGAGGAUUGGAUGGGCUUCCCCCAUUGUCUGGGGACCCUGACGAACACCACAGUCAUAAAGCGCCUUUCAUUUUCCUUUCAGGUCUUUUAGCUAAAAUGCCACAAGAAAGGGGACUACGGCCCAGUCCCAGGCUAAGCGCGCUGCACAGCCCCCACUGGGCCUCUGCUUGGCCCAGAUAACUGGAAAACAUUCCAGGAAUCUCAGCAUUGCGGUUUUGUUUCCUCUUGGCUUUGUGAGAGUUUAAGGAAUGUGUAAUUAUUUAUGAAAUGCCAGUGUCCUGGCCACAGAAGCCCCGAUUGAAGAGAGAACCAGGCAGAUGCAGAGCCAUUCUUGGCUGGAGCUUUGAGCCCCACCGACUUUCCCUGCCAUGAUGCUGGGAAUUUCUGCCCCACUCAUGGGCAUCAGAACUCCAAGGUGGAGCAGGACCUAAAUAGACUGUAAAGGGAGGUGGAACCGAGAUCCAUGUGCGUGUUCAGAAUUCAAGUAGGAUGAGGAAGCCAGGGUGCAGAAUGGAGCCGGAUGUGCAAGGUGCUUCGUAAACGGUGCCUUCCGGGCGGGCUCAGCGGUGAACACGGACAGGCCCGCCUUCCUGGAGCUCACGCUAGCAAAGUCAGGAAGAAAACCGCGUGGCCACCUUAGCAAAUGCAGAACAGCAUCUGGGAACAUUCAACAGCCAGUCAUGAAAAGGUUCUCAGCAGGCUAAGCAUAGAAAGGCAUUUCCUUAACUGGACAAAGGGUCUUCAAAAAACCUUCAGCAAAUACAGUACGGCACUAAAUGGCGAGACAGAGAAACUGUCCCCGUCAGACCAGAACACAGUAGACAGGCCUUCUAACAACGCUUCCAUUUAGCAUUCUAAGAGAGGCUAUGGCUGUCACUCAUAGGAGGGAGAGACUGAGAGACAGAGACAGGGUCAGAGAGACAGACAAAGACAGAGAGAAGCAAAGUCAGAGACGUAGGGAAACAGACAGAGAAAUACAGAGAGAGACAUAGAGAAACAGAGAAAGAGAGAAACAGAGACAGAGACAUAGGGAAACAGACAGAGAAAUACAGAGAGAAACAGAGACCAGAGACAUAGGGAAACAGACAGAGACAGAGAAAUACAGAGAAACAGAGAGAGAGACAUAGAGAAACAGAGAGACAGAGAAAGACAGACAGAAGCAGAGACAGAGACAUAGGAAAACAGAGAGACAGAGACAGAGAGAGACAAAGACAGAGAGAGAGACACUCACAGAGGAUAAUGAAACAAUAUCUGGAAUAAAAGAGAAACGUUCUUCACAAAUGGUAUUUGCUGUGGUUAGAAUGUCUCUCCCAAAACUCAUGUUGAAACUUAAUUGCCAUUUUCCAGAUGAGGUGCAGAGUGGAGGCAGACAUGUUAAGAGGUGAGGCCCUCCUGAGGAAUUAACGUGGUUGUCGAGGGAGCUCGAUAACGACUACAGCAGUAUAGUUAUAAGAGUUAGGGAGAAAAUGAACAAAAUGAAAAGAAAAUAACACAGAUAAGAAACAAGAGAUAAACAUAGAA